GGGGGCGAUAUGGGUUCGACGGGGGUGGGAAGUCAAAGUGGCAUGCCGGGGUCCUGCUGCCCCGUUAAAAAAGCAGGACUGCUUUAACUGCAGACAAUAACGAAUACGCCCUGGCUGCUUAGACAGCCAGCGUCUUGCCGGCCUUCUCCCGCGGGGUCGGACAAGGCGUCAUUCAGCGGGAUGGACCGAUUCCCCUGCCGGAGGAGAUGAGGUCGAGAUCCAAACCGGCUGGCCGAGCAAGACCCUGUCGUCGGGGGCUUCCGAGGCGAGACUCAAGCGGCGACUAAGCAUGUAGUCACUUCUGGCGGAAAGCCUUCGGACGGGGGUUCGAUUCCCCCCGCCUCCACCA
RNAcentral lists this transfer-messenger RNA (349 nucleotides) under Deltaproteobacteria bacterium. It matches the Rfam family "transfer-messenger RNA". From Rfam's summary of the family: Bacterial tmRNA, also known as 10Sa RNA or SsrA, is named for its dual tRNA and mRNA-like properties. Its role is to liberate the mRNA from a stalled ribosome. Lineage: Bacteria; Pseudomonadati; Myxococcota; Myxococcia. The record is from RNAcentral.